RNAcentral lists this ribosomal RNA (376 nucleotides) under uncultured Serratia sp. RNAcentral describes it as "bacterial SSU rRNA". It matches the Rfam family "Bacterial small subunit ribosomal RNA", at positions 521 to 895 of the family's 1533-position model. Lineage: Bacteria; Pseudomonadati; Pseudomonadota; Gammaproteobacteria; Enterobacterales; Yersiniaceae. The record is from RNAcentral.
UAAUACGGAGGGUGCAAGCGUUAAUCGGAAUUACUGGGCGUAAAGCGCACGCAGGCGGUUUGUUAAGUCAGAUGUGAAAUCCCCGGGCUCAACCUGGGAACUGCAUUUGAAACUGGCAAGCUAGAGUCUCGUAGAGGGGGGGUAGAAUUCCAGGUGUAGCGGUGAAAUGCGUAGAGAUCUGGAGGAAUACCGGUGGCGAAGGCGGCCCCCUGGACGAAGACUGACGCUCAGGUGCGAAAGCGUGGGGAGCAAACAGGAUUAGAUACCCUGGUAGUCCACGCUGUAAACGAUGUCGAUUUGGAGGUUGUGCCCUUGAGGCGUGGCUUCCGGAGCUAACGCGUUAAAUCGACCGCCUGGGGAGUACGGCCGCAAGGUU